Molecule: non-coding RNA, 29 nt
Filed under: Rattus norvegicus (Norway rat)
Lineage: Eukaryota; Metazoa; Chordata; Mammalia; Rodentia; Muridae
Source: RNAcentral
UAAAAAUGUGUGAAGACACCCUGAAGUGA